RNAcentral lists this transfer RNA (72 nucleotides) under Ictidomys tridecemlineatus (thirteen-lined ground squirrel). RNAcentral's name for it is "Spermophilus tridecemlineatus (thirteen-lined ground squirrel) tRNA". It matches the Rfam family "tRNA". Rfam says of the family: Transfer RNA (tRNA) molecules are approximately 80 nucleotides in length. Their secondary structure includes four short double-helical elements and three loops (D, anti-codon, and T loops). Further hydrogen bonds mediate the characteristic L-shaped molecular structure. tRNAs have two regions of fundamental functional importance: the anti-codon, which is responsible for specific mRNA codon recognition, and the 3' end, to which the tRNAs corresponding amino acid is attached (by aminoacyl-tRNA synthetases). tRNAs cope with the degeneracy of the genetic code in two manners: having more than one tRNA (with a specific anti-codon) for a particular amino acid; and 'wobble' base-pairing, i.e. permitting non-standard base-pairing at the 3rd anti-codon position. The record is from Rfam by way of RNAcentral. Lineage: Eukaryota; Metazoa; Chordata; Mammalia; Rodentia; Sciuridae.
GGCGGUGUGGCUCAGUGGCAGAGUACUUGCCUAGGAUGCAUGAGGCACUGGGUUCCAUCCCCAGCACCUCAU